Molecule: ribosomal RNA, 232 nt
Filed under: uncultured bacterium
Lineage: Bacteria
Description: partial 16S ribosomal RNA
Rfam family: Bacterial small subunit ribosomal RNA
Source: RNAcentral
CGGACGGGUGAGUAAUGUCUGGGAAACUGCCUGAUGGAGGGGGAUAACUACUGGAAACGGUAGCUAAUACCGCAUAACGUCGCAAGACCAAAGAGGGGGACCUUCGGGCCUCUUGCCAUCGGAUGUGCCCAGAUGGGAUUAGCUAGUAGGUGGGGUAAAGGCUCACCUAGGCGACGAUCCCUAGCUGGUCUGAGAGGAUGACCAGCCGCACUGGAACUGAGACACGGUCCAG